Non-coding RNA from Pelobates cultripes (western spadefoot toad), 383 nucleotides. The record is from the annotation of a GenBank genome assembly. NCBI's taxonomy places the organism in Eukaryota, Metazoa, Chordata, Amphibia, Anura, Pelobatidae.
CUUAAUAUAUACGGAGGAGAAAGUUAUUUUAAAGUUCUGCCUUUUCCUGGUCUUCUUUAACUAACACCCCCAUCCCAGUUUUUAGCGCGCCUACACUUUAAAUUUUUGGUUUUCAAGGUCGAACUAAUUUUGUAGUUACCUACUCUCCUGAUAGUGGAUUGGUGCUGAUGCUAUGAAGGGCACACCUCUCCAAUCUCUUUCUCUCCCAGUGAUUGGCUGAUUGGUUCUCAUUGCUGGCAGGUAGAGGCACCAUAUAUACCUGGGUUCUGUUAUGAGCCCUGGCUGUGGUCUCUGUGGCGGAUGCUGCAAAAAUGUAACAAGCCGACUUGUGGUAAUGGUGGCAUUCUAUGACAGUGCCAUGUUUAAAGCCAUCGAGAUCAUCA